Molecule: ribosomal RNA, 274 nt
Filed under: uncultured bacterium
Lineage: Bacteria
Description: partial 16S ribosomal RNA
Rfam family: Bacterial small subunit ribosomal RNA
Source: RNAcentral
AUACGGAGGGUGCAAGCGUUACUCGGAAUCACUGGGCGUAAAGCGCGCGCAGGCGGUCUUUUAAGUUGGAUGUGAAAGCCUACAGCUCAACUGUAGAACUGCAUCCAAAACUAUUAGACUAGAGUCUGGGAGGGGAAGAUGGAAUUAGUUGUGUAGGGGUAAAAUCCGUAGAGAUAACUAGGAAUACCAAAAGCGAAGGCAAUCUUCUGGAACACUACUGACGCUGAGGCGCGAAGGCGUGGGGAGCAAACAGGAUUAGAAACCCCAGUAGUCC